This 291-nucleotide unclassified non-coding RNA is filed under the name uncultured Coprinopsis. RNAcentral describes it as "sequence contains ITS2". The stretch from base 1 to 52 matches the Rfam family "5.8S ribosomal RNA", at positions 103 to 154 of the family's 154-position model. The record is from RNAcentral. Lineage: Eukaryota; Fungi; Basidiomycota; Agaricomycetes; Agaricales; Psathyrellaceae.
AACGCACCUUGCGCUCCUUGGUAUUCCGAGGAGCAUGCCUGUUUGAGUGUCAUUAAAUUCUCAACCUCACCAACUUUGUUGUGUGAAGGCUUGGAUGUGGGGGUUUGCAGGUCCGCACUCGUGUGGUCUGCUCCUCUAAAACGUAUUAGUGGGUUAGUCCCCUAAUCUAUUGGUGUGAUAAUUAUCUACGCCGUGGAUUUGGAAGGCUAUCAUAGACCUGCUUCUAACAGUCCUCUGGACAACUUUGACAAUUUUGACCUCAAAUCAGGUAAGACUACCCGCUGAACUUAA